CGAAUAGGAACGGCAAAUUCGAGGAGGGGAAAAAAAAAAAGGGGGGGGAAGAAAAAAAAAAAAAAAAGAGGAAAAGUUGCCCGGCAGCAACAGCGGGCGCUGCCCGCAGCAUCACUUACCAGAGGGCCCGGGCGGGCUGCGAGGCGCUGCCGCUCCCUCCUUCCCCGCCGCCUCCUCCUGAAGCCGGCUGCGGGAGGGAGCGAGCGCGCAGAGCCUCCCGCUGGAGCCGCCAGGCGUGACGGGCCGGGAGGGGCGGGCCGGAGCCACGGCGUGGGCUUCGCCUUGCGGUGCAGCCGCUGCGGCAGUGCCGGGGAGAGGGGGAGCGGCGCGGGGGCGGCCGGCGCCACCCGGGAUGGAGGACGUGGGAGAGCGGGAAGGGCGAUCCCCGCUGCAGGGCCGGGUGCGAAGGGAGGCACGGAACCCCCCCGCAGGAGCGAGUUGGAGGGCGGCGGCAACGAGCCCCCUUUUGCGGUAGAAGGGGAAAACAGAGGAGAAAAUUCCUUCCACCACCACAAACCCACUGCAGGCUUGCAGGAACCAGGUCUCAUCUCCACUACCAUGAAAGACAUCGCGAGGUAGGAGGUGAAAGACAUCCCAAGGAUAUAAAUAUGGCUUUACUUCUCCACUGAACUGUGACUGAAAAUAGCAACUGGCAAAGAUUCAUAGUAUUUCCCCUGAAAUCAAAGUUGAAUUUUCACAGAAUCAGGGUCUUACACGAUGCUCCCACAGUCUUACAUUAUGCUACUAAAUGAGAUAGGCUAGGGGAAAUGAACAGCAUAUAUAUGGGAAAUGCAUAGAAAUGUUGCAGUUAAGCCUCAGCAAGGGGUCAGGGACUGCUGUAGCAAUCAGGUUACCUCAGCCUCUGAAGUUCUUCAGUAUGCUGCUGUAUGCAGUGCACUAACAGUUGAGACUGCAUGUGUGCAUAGCAACCUACACAGCGGGACCCAGUCCUGAGUGAGACACAGCUUCAUUUCAGAUAAAUAAUGGCUGGAAAAUGCUGCUUAAAUAUACAAAAGGAAUGCACUGUUGUCUUAGGUGACAAAGACAGAAGAAAAAUCUACAAUUUGAUUAAGAGAAGAGGAAUUUUUUUCUUCAUUCUAAUUGGAAGCAGUAGACAAGUUAAAAGAAUACUGCAUCAAAAGAGAAGAAUCUGAUACUUUGCUGACAAAUGAAAAAUGACUUUUAAAAUCACCGUAUGUGGUACAGGCUUUCACACAUACAAAUCAUAUUUUCUUUUGGCUUCAUAAAAACAAAAACCUAUGACAGGUCAAGGCUGGCUUUGAUCAAAAGAUCCUCUACCUCUCCUAGAAUUAAAGGUGAAAAGUCACUAAAUAAAUUUUCACAUGAUGUGAGCA
Molecule: long non-coding RNA, 1355 nt
Filed under: Numida meleagris (helmeted guineafowl)
Lineage: Eukaryota; Metazoa; Chordata; Aves; Galliformes; Numididae
Description: lncRNA (ENSNMEG00000008440.1)
Source: RNAcentral